This 70-nucleotide transfer RNA is filed under the name Aegotheles bennettii. RNAcentral describes it as "tRNA-Arg". Lineage: Eukaryota; Metazoa; Chordata; Aves; Caprimulgiformes; Aegothelidae. The record is from RNAcentral.
AGAAAGUUAGUCUAACCAAGACAGCUGAUUUCGACUCAGCAGAUCAUAGCCUUCUACCUAUGACUUUCUC